CUAAUUCUUAUGCACCAAUGGAAAUUUCAUCCACUCCAAAAAAAAAACAAAAAAAAACAAAUUGAUUUAAAAGAGAAACAGAAGCACUGUUUCAUGAGGCUACUUAAAAAUCUGAUCUGUUUUUAAACUGUUGAUAGUCCUCAGUGUCUGAGGGUCCCAUUGGAAAACAAAUCUCGCCACCACAGCGAAGGUCAUCCCUGGAGGGGGACCAUGAAAACAUUGUUGACAACAAGGCAAAGACAACAGCAACCCCACAGGAUCAACUCACCUCUUUGUGGAAAAGGAGAGACACUGAGGUUGUGGUUUCUGUGAUCCCUACACAAACCAAAGUAACAUCAUUUAUCAUUCAUCACAGUGAACUGUGUACACUUCGGCCACACCAGUGGCUAAAUGGCGAGAUAAUUGAAGCCCUGUUUCAUAUUGCUGCCAGUGAGCUAGAGAUCGGGAAUUCCAUUUACAUUCUUAAUCACUACGUAGCAGGUGUGAUUCUGUUUGGGGAAAAACCUCAGCUCCCCGGCAAAAAUUGUCAAAGAUUAACUUGAACAAUUACCAGGGAAUUGUUUCUUUUGUGAACAUUGACAAUGUCCAUUGGAAGUUUCUGUUGAGUAGGUGAAUAACUUCAUUUUAUCAUUACCAAAUCUGGAUCUACUCAGUAUUAGUAGCUGUUGUUUCACCUUAUCAUUUUCAGUUCAUAAAUGCGGUCAACCACACAGUGUACCUGGUAGACCCAUCAAAAAGUCCCACAGAGAAAGAUGACUCAAUUCAUGCUGCCCAAAAACUCAGUGAGUACAUACAAAUGAGGAAUACUCAACAAAGAAAAACAGAGUGGCUGAAUAUACAGUGGAAAGGAGGAGUUAUGACGCAUCCAGUCCAGCAGGAUGGCAGUAGCUGUGGCGUCAUUGUUGUCUUGUUUGCAACUUCCAGAAAGGAAAUGGCCAAUGAACGAAAAAUGAUGGCUCUACAGAUACUCAAAGCAUCAGUGUUCGAUGAAGCCGAAAACUGUUCCAUGUGUUCCCUUAAAAAGCCUACUGGAUCUGUGCAUCGUUUCAUAAAUUGGAUCCAAUGUGACACAUGUGAAAGGUGGUACCAUGAAAAGUGCCUGGGUAUGGCCAAAGAAGACCUGGAACAGGCCAGAGCUAACACAUGGAGCUGCAUAUUGUGCCCUUAAAUUGUUUAAUUAAAACAAACUUUUUUCUUUUUCCUUUUUUUUUUUUGAAGUGUGCAGUUGUUCUUUUAAAUUGUUAUUAAUAGUUGUAAAUGGUAAAAUGUUUUGAUUAAAUUGAGUAUAAACACUGUUUUGUGAAAAAUGUGAAAGAAAAGUCUAAAUUAUUAUAACAUUAAACAUUUUUAUGUGUGAAAUUCAA
This is a long non-coding RNA of Carassius carassius (crucian carp), 1364 nucleotides long. RefSeq lists it as uncharacterized. NCBI's taxonomy places the organism in Eukaryota, Metazoa, Chordata, Actinopteri, Cypriniformes, Cyprinidae. The record is from RefSeq and is a predicted model, not a curated record. The transcript has 8 exons.